GUCACAUCAUGUUCAAACACUGAUUCCCAUAUAAUCACCAAAGUUAAGCAACAUCGAGCCUGGUCAGUAUCUAGAUAGGUGACUGCUUGGGAACACUAGGUGCUGUAA
Acanthosepion pharaonis is the source of this 108-nucleotide non-coding RNA. The record is from the annotation of a GenBank genome assembly. Lineage: Eukaryota; Metazoa; Mollusca; Cephalopoda; Sepiida; Sepiidae.